This 834-nucleotide ribosomal RNA is filed under the name uncultured soil archaeon. Its description in RNAcentral is "bacterial SSU rRNA". It matches the Rfam family "Archaeal small subunit ribosomal RNA", at positions 21 to 859 of the family's 1478-position model. The record is from RNAcentral.
AGGUCACUGCUAUCGGUGUUCGAUUAAGCCAUGCGAGUCGUGAGGGGUAAAGCCCUCGGCGGAGUGCUCAGUAACACGUGGACAACCUACCCAAGAGUCAGGGAUAACCCCGGGAAACUGGGGAUAAUACCUGAUAGGCCAUGACAUCUGGAAUCGAGUUGUGGUUUAAACGUAAGGCUCUUGGAUGGGUCUGCGGCGGAUUAGGUUGUUGCCGGUGUAACGUACCAGCAAGCCUGUAAUCCGUACGGGUUGUGGGAGCAAGAGCCCGGAGAUGGAUUCUGAGACACGAAUCCAGGCCCUACGGGGCGCAGCAGGCGCGAAAACUCUACAAUGCAGGCAACUGCGAUGGGGGAACAUCGAGUGGCAUCCACCAUGGAUGUCUGUCCAAUCGUCUAAAAAACGAUUGUCAGCAAGGGCCGGGCAAGACCGGUGCCAGCCGCCGCGGUAAUACCGGCGGCUCGAGUGGUGGCCGAUAUUAUUGAGUCUAAAGGGUCCGUAGCCGGCUUUGCAAGUCCUAUGGGAAAUCCAGCGGCUUAACCGUUGGGCUUUCAUGGGAUACUACAUUGCUUGGGACUGGGAGAGGUAGGAGGUACUCAGGGGGUAGGGGUGAAAUCCUGUAAUCCUUUGGGGACCACCGGUGGCGAAGGCGUCCUACCAGAACAGGUCCGACGGUGAGGGACGAAAGCUAGGGGCACGAACCGGAUUAGAUACCCGGGUAGUCCUAGCCGUAAACGAUGCUCGCUAGGUGUCACGGCAGUCGUGAAUUGUCGUGGUGCCGUAGGGAAGCCGUGAAGCGAGCCACUUGGGAAGUACGACCGCAAGGUUGAAACUUAA